AAAUAAGAAACAAUUUUUGUAUUUAGUUUCGACCUAAAAUUUAGACUUUUAGUCCUUAUUUU
This 62-nucleotide transfer RNA is filed under the name Pselaphinae sp. 12 EF-2015. Its description in RNAcentral is "tRNA-Arg". Lineage: Eukaryota; Metazoa; Arthropoda; Insecta; Coleoptera; Staphylinidae. The record is from RNAcentral.